RNAcentral lists this ribosomal RNA (252 nucleotides) under uncultured Coriobacteriaceae bacterium. Its description in RNAcentral is "partial 16S ribosomal RNA". It matches the Rfam family "Bacterial small subunit ribosomal RNA", at positions 524 to 776 of the family's 1533-position model. Lineage: Bacteria; Bacillati; Actinomycetota; Coriobacteriia; Coriobacteriales; Coriobacteriaceae. The record is from RNAcentral.
UACGGGGGGUGCAAGCGUUGUCCGGAAUCAUUGGGCGUAAAGCGCGCGUAGGCGGCCUGUUAGGUCGGGGGUCAAAUACCGGGGCUCAACCCCGGUCCGCCCCCGAUACCGGCAGGCUUGAGUCUGGUAGGGGAAGGCGGAAUUCCCAGUGUAGCGGUGGAAUGCGCAGAUAUUGGGAAGAACACCGGCGGCGAAGGCGGCCUUCUGGGCCACGACUGACGCUGAGGCGCGAAAGCUAGGGGAGCGAACAGG